AAAUAAAUUUACUGAACUUGGGCU
This 24-nucleotide non-coding RNA is filed under the name Bos taurus (domestic cattle). RNAcentral also lists the same sequence under 1 other name. Lineage: Eukaryota; Metazoa; Chordata; Mammalia; Artiodactyla; Bovidae. The record is from RNAcentral.